This 468-nucleotide ribosomal RNA is filed under the name uncultured bacterium. Its description in RNAcentral is "partial 16S ribosomal RNA". It matches the Rfam family "Bacterial small subunit ribosomal RNA", at positions 28 to 507 of the family's 1533-position model. The record is from RNAcentral.
GACGAACGCUGGCGGCGUGCUUAACACAUGCAAGUCGAACGGAAAGGCCCUGCUUUUGUGGGGUGCUCGAGUGGCGAACGGGUGAGUAACACGUGAGUCACCUGCCCUUGACUUUGGGAUAACUUCAGGAAACUGGGGCUAAUACCGGAUAGGAGCUCCUGCUGCAUGGUGGGGGUUGGAAAGUUUCGGCGGUUGGGGAUGGACUCGCGGCUUAUCAGCUUGUUGGUGGGGUAGUGGCUUACCAAGGCUUUGACGGGUAGCCGGCCUGAGAGGGUGGACGGCCACAUUGGGACUGAGAGACGGCCCAGACUCCUACGUGAGGCAGAAGUGGGGAAUAUUGCACAAUGGGGGGAAGCCUGAUGCAGCAACGCCGCGUGCGGGAUGACGGCCUUCGGGUUGUAAACCGCUUUCGCCUGUGACGAAGCUGGAGUGACGGUAAUGGGUAAAGAAGCACCGGCUAACUACGUG